CAUGCCGCGUGUGUGAAAAGGCCUUCGGGUUGUAAGCACUUUUGUCCGGAAAGAAAACUUCGGGGUUAAUACCUCUGGAGGAUGACGGUACCGGAAGAAUAAGCACCGGCUAACUACGUGCCAGCAGCCGCGGUAAUACGUAGGGUGCGAGCGUUAAUCGGAAUUACUGGGCGUAAAGCGUGCGCAGGCGGUCUGUUAAGACAGAUGUGAAAUCCCCGGGCUUAACCUGGGAACUGCAUUUGUGACUGGCAGGCUAGAGUAUGGCAGAGGGGGGUAGAAUUCCACGUGUAGCAGUGAAAUGCGUAGAGAUGUGGAGGAAUACCGAUGGCGAAGGCAGCCCCCUGGGCCAAUACUGACGCUCAUGCACGAAAGCGUGGGGAGCAAACA
Molecule: ribosomal RNA, 387 nt
Filed under: Burkholderia sp. 3CB3N3
Lineage: Bacteria; Pseudomonadati; Pseudomonadota; Betaproteobacteria; Burkholderiales; Burkholderiaceae
Description: bacterial SSU rRNA
Rfam family: Bacterial small subunit ribosomal RNA
Source: RNAcentral